This 789-nucleotide ribosomal RNA is filed under the name Pedobacter suwonensis. Its description in RNAcentral is "bacterial SSU rRNA". It matches the Rfam family "Bacterial small subunit ribosomal RNA", at positions 78 to 868 of the family's 1533-position model. Lineage: Bacteria; Pseudomonadati; Bacteroidota; Sphingobacteriia; Sphingobacteriales; Sphingobacteriaceae. The record is from RNAcentral.
GCUUGCUGGAGAGGAAAGUGGCGCACGGGUGCGUAACGCGUAUGCAACCUACCUUCAUCAGGGGGAUAGCCCGGAGAAAUCCGGAUUAAUACCGCAUAAAAUCACAGGAUGGCAUUAUCCAAUGAUCAAACAUUUAUGGGAUGGAGAUGGGCAUGCGUGUCAUUAGCUAGUUGGCGGGGUAACGGCCCACCAAGGCGACGAUGACUAGGGGAUCUGAGAGGAUGGCCCCCCACACUGGUACUGAGACACGGACCAGACUCCUACGGGAGGCAGCAGUAAGGAAUAUUGGUCAAUGGAGGCAACUCUGAACCAGCCAUGCCGCGUGCAGGAAGACUGCCCUAUGGGUUGUAAACUGCUUUUAUCCGGGAAUAAACCUAAAUACGUGUAUUUAGCUGAAUGUACCGGAAGAAUAAGGAUCGGCUAACUCCGUGCCAGCAGCCGCGGUAAUACGGAGGAUCCAAGCGUUAUCCGGAUUUAUUGGGUUUAAAGGGUGCGUAGGCGGCCUGUUAAGUCAGGGGUGAAAGACGGUAGCUCAACUAUCGCAGUGCCCUUGAUACUGAUGGGCUUGAAUGGACUAGAGGUAGGCGGAAUGAGACAAGUAGCGGUGAAAUGCAUAGAUAUGUCUCAGAACACCGAUUGCGAAGGCAGCUUACUAUGGUCUUAUUGACGCUGAGGCACGAAAGCGUGGGGAUCAAACAGGAUUAGAUACCCUGGUAGUCCACGCCCUAAACGAUGAACACUCGCUGUUGGCGAUACACAGUCAGCGGCUAAGCGAAAGCGUUAAGUGUU